RNAcentral lists this microRNA (21 nucleotides) under Gyrodactylus salaris (gyrodactylosis fluke). RNAcentral's name for it is "gsa-miR-9400-5p". The record is from miRBase by way of RNAcentral. Lineage: Eukaryota; Metazoa; Platyhelminthes; Monogenea; Gyrodactylidea; Gyrodactylidae.
UAGACAAGAAGAAUGAAAGAU